ACUGAUUUAAAUGGUGUCAAUAUUAGUCAUUCAAAGUUUGAUGGUAAAAUUUAAUCACCAAAUUAGAUACUGAUAAAUUUGAUUCUUAUUCCUUAAUCCUAAAUUAAAAUUUCAUUGCAUCAAUACUUUAGAAAUAAAGUAUAUUUUCUAGUUGAUUUAUUCAAAAGAUUUUAACAAAUCAAAGAAUAAUUUUAACUAUACUCCCUCCAUCCCAUUUUCUUAGUCCCUUUUAUUUCUUUUCGAUGUGUCAAAGUUAUGUUCUUUUUUUUUUUUGAACACAAACUACUCCUUUUUAUAUAUAUUUCAAAUUUACUUUCAAUGAUUUUUUUUACUCUUUUGUUAUUAAAAACCUUGAAACAUCAUUUUUUUUAUAAAAUGGUAUAUAAAAUUUUAAUAUAAGAUAGACUGAUUUGAAAUUUUUUUCUUAAAUUUUGUGAAAAUCAAGGACAUAAAAUAUGAGAUUUAGGUAGCUUUAUGUCAUCAAAAGGGAGAUGGAUCAAAUAAUGAACUUGCGUAAUUGCCCUAAAAAAGUAUAUAACCUAUAGAUAAUUGUAUUAUCAUUAUGGGCGCUAUAAAACAUGAAUAUAAUGGAAUGUGAAUUUAUUUAUUCUACUUUGUAAAACAUUGCAUAAGAAAUAUACCUUGGAUAGGGUUAUAGCUGAUUGGAUUGAAGUGGUCCACCGCAUCUGUGAGUUUCCAAGCCGAUGUGAAAUGCAAUAGGCCAUCGUCGUUUUGAAAAACCACACACCCAAUAUCCUCAUGCUCCCCAGACACGAUAUCCGGCGCCAGUGGAACUGGAAGAAGGCCAUUCGCUCGCAAGAGGGAUCGCCAUUGAGCCAAAGUCUGGUGUCGCUCAAGUCGGUCUGUCCCUUCACAUCCCACGAUGUUUACUAUCUGUUGUCUACAAUACAUUAAUUUGUAAAAUUCCAAAAAAUUGAAGUAAUAUUGAAAAGAUUUCUCCAACCGUUUGAUGAAAUUGGAGUCAUUAUGGUCAGCAUAUUGCUCUUCUAUAAUCACAAUCUCUGGGUUUAUCUGCCUCAACUUUAACAACUCUCUCUCCAUUACUCUUGCAUCUGCCAGCAACUGGUGAAGUUUACAGUGAUAAUAGACGAUUACGGCCUCAUCCGUUGUCCUUGUGAAAUCCGCCUUAGACGCAUCCACAUCACCCAAACUAUUGGCAUAAACCACUCUCAAGUCCUCCAACUUAAUUCCAUGUCCCAUGGCCGCCGUAGUGAGAUAGUGCUUACUUUUUUCUUGUUGGAAUUUUACUAUUUUUUCCAGAAAUGGUGAUACUAUGACACUUACACGGACUGAUAGAAAAUCACCGGAAGCAUUAGCUAGUGAUCUAAACAAGUAUCUCCAAUAAUAUAAAGGUCGGAAUAAGAAGGUAAUGAGGUGCAAUCGUUUCUUUCCCAUACAGGCAGUGUUGAUGGCAUCGCAGGAAAAAUUAUAAAGGAAAUAAAUGGGUGGAGGAGUCAGCAAAGUGAAAUAGGCACUGGCAGAAGAAAUUCCGUAAGCUCGGCGAACUAGAGCUUCCGCAAAGUAUUUCACAACAUCGCUUUCUUGCCGGCAGGAUUGGUCGGCAGCAAGAUUCCAGAUCCGCUCCAGGAGUGAGUCGGCAAGAGUCAGAUUCUCGUCUUGAAUAGCUUUAGCGCAGGCGACUAAGGCGUCUAAAGCAGAAGAGGCCAUCACUGUACGGAAAUACUAGAAAUUUGGUCGAGGCAAAACUGGUAAUAAGACAGUGCAGAUAAAAUUUGGAAUCAAGGAAAAGCAAACUUGGAGGCGCCAAUGAAGUUGAGAUUAAGAAAGUAAAACAAAUUCGGGGGCAUCAAACAUUUGCACCUUGAAAUAUAAGAAGAUGACAACUUUUCCAGCAAUAGCUUGUCCCCACACCUCACGCGGAAUUGAGGGACCCCCCAUAUUCCAAGCCAAGCAUCAGUCACGCGACUUCGUGGAAAUUACUACAAGCAGUUUUCAAUCAGAAUUGGACUAGUCAACCAUUCCGUUUGUCGAAUUAAUAUUAAAUUAAAUAUUAGUCGCUCUGCAAUCCAUUCUGUUUUUAAAAUGAAUUAGACUAGUCAACCAAAGCAAAACAAACUCAUUGCACAAAACAACUUAUUAGUUGCCUCAUCUGUCAUCUCACUAGCUACAAUUGAUCAUUCAUGGCAUGUUCAAACCAAUAGAACAAAAUCUAAACCGAGCUUAAUAAAAUCCAAUUUCUUCCUUUGGCUUUCCCUCGUGUAUCUCCAUCUUUUUUUCAAAAGUAACAACUUAUCAUAUAUUUUUUUUGGGAUAAACUUUUUAUUUUACUUGAAUAAUUGGUAUAAAAAAUAAAUUUAAAAACAAUGAGUAAUACUUACUUUUCGAAAAAAGAAAGCAAUAUUGAUGAAGAUAAUGGAAAUUGGAAAGAACAGAUAAAUGAGAAUUUUUUUUUAUUAUUAUAAAUCUCGUUAUUGUUGCUAUGUAGCUAAGCUUGGUACCGAACUAUACAAGUUUAGAAUAGUAUUAAAAUCAUUGGACAUUUACAAUCACUGUAGUGAGAAGAUUAAAUGAUUAUUAAAAUCAAAUAGUUAUUUUCAUUUAAAAACAUUUACAAUUGAGUAAACAAGUGGUAUCAAUUUAAGUGAUCGAUUUACUAUUUUAAAUCAUCAAUCAUACUUACAAAAUUUACACAACUUUUACUUUAAAACCGUUGGCUCUUAAAAAUAGAAACAUGAGCCCCCUGUCAAAUUGUAGAAUUACCCUAAAAUUAAUCUAAGUAGACCCAUGAAUGACCUUGGUCUGUUCCCACCCCUAGUGAUUGGUUCAAUGUAAAAAAAAUAAAAAGAAAAGAAAAGAAAAAGAAUAAGAAUCAAUUUCUGAACAAUUGGUUAAGAAUAAGCAUCACAACUCUGCUCUAGCUCUACUUGGAUUAAGUAGCACGGUUUCGAUUCAAGAAUAGCAGCGGCACAAAUACGACAACAAAUAAGGAGACGAAAAACAGAGUCCAUGUAGUGAACUUCAGCUUCAAUGGAAAAGCAGUUGCAGUGGCGUGGCAAAAUGCUGCGGCAGCUAGAAACAGUGGAACUUUUUCCAACGCUUGUGCAGUUUAGGUAUUGUUUUGGCUGAUAAAUAAUGCAACGAAGAGAAUGACAAAUAUAAGCAAGACAGCAAAAGAAUUGAAGAUAUAUAAUAUUAACUCAAGCUUUUGUGUACAGUACAGGUCUUAGUUGAGAGUAGGUGCCAACUUCUUAUUGAGCAUCUGAAAUCUUUUGUAACUGUAGAGAGUUUUUCUUAUCACAAAGCUAGAUUUCAUAUGCCACUAGAAGUCUUCCAUCAUGGUUCAAGACUUGUGAUGGUACACUAGCUGGAGGGGCCUUAAUAAAAUUUCACUUUUCAAAGAAAAAGUUGAUGUGCUUAGAGUAGAAGAAUUAGAUCGAUCAGACAACUAUGGGCAGCUCACAUCAUGGAGCACGCCUGUACGACUGAUUAUGGGUCAUGGCUGAAGUCCAUGUAGUGAACUUCAGCUUCAAUGGAAAAGCAGUUGCAGUGGCGUGGCAAAAUGCUGCGGCAGCUAGAAACAGUGGAACUUUUUCCAACGCUUGUGCAGUUUAGGUAUUGUUUUGGCUGAUAAAUAAUGCAACGAAGAGAAUGACAAAUAUAAGCAAGACAGCAAAAGAAUUGAAGUAUUUGACUCAUUUUAUCUUUGGAUAAUGCUCAUUACGUUCAUUUGUGUUGAACACUAAUUGCAUCAAUCUUGUGUGUAUAUAUGUACAGUGGGUCAAAUGAGACUAUAAGGAGAAAAAUGAAAUGUACUGUCUUGAAUCCUUUUUGCUUAGUUAGGGAGGCAAAGAGAAAGAAAAUACGCAGGACACUUGGGGCAUUUAAUAAAACUACAAAUAAAAAUCCAUAUCUAAUGGAUAUUGAUAUUUUAUAAAAUUUUAUGAAAUCUAUUAAAUUGCAUCUUACUAUCACAAUUAUAAAACUUAUUAUAUAAAACUCCACAAAAUUUAAAUUUUAAGCGUGAGUCAAGAACAAUUGUAACAACAAAAACUAAAUUACAUCCUCCUAUAAUUGUCACAUUUUCUCUUAAUCAAUGUAGUGAAUGGAUAAUCAUUCUUUUUCAAUUUAAGAAAUUUCUUAUAUAUGUUAUAGAUCUUGGGAAAGUAUAUUCUCAAAAACUAUUUUAAAUGUCAUAAAAACCUUUCAAAAUUGUGCAAAAUUAAUGCAGUGACUUAUCCCAUUCCUCCAUUGAUGGAUAUAUUCUAAAAUUACUAUCAAUUUACUCCAGUUGACAAAAUAUUCUCUUAAUUCCAAAGCGCUAUUGAGUAUGUCAGUCUGAAUCCAAUUUUAAAAGAAGAUCUUUAUCCCAUGAUUUCUCACCUUAUAGCUUCACUUAAUUUACUGUUUCUAAAACUUGAGUUUUCUCAAUUCUGUCUCACUGUUCCUUAUCUUCAAAAAUAUAUCAUCCAUCACACGCAACUUAUGGUAGCUGGUGUAAUAACAACAGAGAAGUAGCCUUAAUUACGAUCACUUUCUUUUAUUUGUUGAACAAUAUCAUCAUCCAAAAAAAUUUAUCUACAGUAAUCUAACUUAAUUUCUUAUUCAUAUUUCCACUUUGAGCUUCGAAUAAUUUCAGUUAAAGUAUUUGCAAUAGUUAUACUCUAAACUUUUGAAAGCAAGAAUCUUCAUCUUUAAUUCCCAACUUUUAUUACCAAAGUGUACUAUCAAACAACUUUUAUUGCCAAUUUUUGUUCAGCAAUAUCUAAUGGAUAUUGAUAUUGAUACCUAAUAAUUAGAAUUUUAUGAAAUAUGUCAAAUUGCAUCUUACCAUCUUAAUUAUAAAUCUCACUAUAUAAAAACUCCACAAAUUUAAAUUUUAACCAUGAGUUAAAAACUGUUGCAACAACAAAAACUAAAUUACAUUUCCCACAAAUUAUGUUAAUUUCUUAACCACCAACAUAAGAGUCUUUGGUGAAAUGAUAAAGUCUGAGGAGAAAGAAGUCAACUUCCAUGCUUUCAAGUAAAAGAUCAAGAGUUCUAAGCCAACCAAUCAAUGAGGAUGUCAGACAAUUGAGUGGAGAGGAUGUAAUGAGCUAACUUUUGUAUAAAGCAAUGACAGGGUAGAACUAUAUAGGAGACUAAGUCUUUUGUAGUUUAAGAGAAAAUGUCUCUAUUUCAAAUAUUGUAAUAGCACUUGAUGGUAUAUUUAAAAAUAUUUAUUAAGUCUUUAAGGAAAGAAAUGUCUCCAUUUCAUGCAUUGUAACAAUUAUUGGUGACAUAUGUAUAAAAGUUUGUCAGCUCUUUAUAAGGGAUGAGCAAUUGACGAAUUGUUAAGUUACCUCACUAGUUAAGUUAUGUUUGUAACUAACCAUCUAAAGCCGCCCCUAUAGCCCAAACAUGUGCACUUUCAAAUAUAAGAAGAUGACAACUUUGCCAGCAAUAGCGUGUCCCCACACCUCACGCGGAAUUGAGGGACCCUCCAUAUUCCAAGCCAAGCAUCAGUCACGCAACUUCGAUUAAUAUAGUCGUACUUCGAUUCUACCACCACUCCACCAAAAAAAACCCUUGCUUUAUAGAGAGUUGAGAAAUUUAAUCGUUUUUUUAAAAUCAUACUUUUCACACAUUAGAUUCUAUUCACAUUUACUAAUUAAUUAUAGAAGUGUCAUUAAUUAUAACUCUUUCACGUCAAAAUUUUUUCAGUACCAUAUGGGAAAAUGGGACCACCUUCAUGCUCUUUUUCCCCAUUAUUAUAUUUAGAGUUGAUUGUCAAUUAAUUGAAUAUGACAUGUAUUUACCAGCAUUAAUCAGCAUUCACAUCAACGGUGCUUAACAAGAUCCAAAUAUAUAUGAGCAUGACAUGUAUUAAGAACUAUUAUUCUUAGGAUUGAUCAUUCAUGACGUGUUCAACCAAAUUGAAUAAAAUCUUAACGAAGCUUACCAAAUCCGAUUUCGUUCUUUUACCUUUCACUCAUGUAUCUCUUUUUAAAAAAAAGUAACAACUUAGAUACAAUGACAAAUCAAACUAAUCCUUAAUUAGGGAAUGUUUAAUAAAGAUACUAAUCAAAGUUCAGUUUUACAUUAUCUUUCAUUUGGCAAAGCACGUGUUUUUAUGAUAAUUCAUCUUAUAUGCUAUAUUCCAUAUGUGGAAGCUUAUAAUUCUACCACAACUCCAAGGCACAGCCUUAUUAUUAUAAGCUUUUAUUAGAGUUGCAAAAAAUCCAAAUGUUGCAUUCCAACAAGUUGUUCUUAAAUCUUAAAAUAGCUAAGUUCCAAUUAACAGGUACCCAACUUUUAGUAUAAGUAACACUAAAUCCAUCUCAUGCAAGAUAACAGAAGAAGUUUUCUGUCGUUAACUACAACUUUUAUGGACCAAAAGAUCCAGAGUUGCCAUUUACAAGCAUGAUAGUACAUCAGAAAAUGAUAUGAACUUCCCACAAACAAUCCAAGAGUUUCCAGCAGAAAAUGCAUUCUUUUUCAGCGGUUAAAGAUGUCUUCGAAAUAAUAUGUGAACACAGAAAAUAUCACUUAGCAACGGAUCAAAUAGAAUAAAAGGCUCUAGAAAAUCAUUUGUUAGUAAGUUUUGCCCUCCUUCAUACUCUUCUACACGUCAACCAUUAUAAAGCAGUUUAAUUCUAAAUGAGCUAAAAAGGUGGAUAUGUCAGUGAUAUUGAUUUGUUUGGAGAGUUACAGAGAGCAGGAAACGGACAUUCAGGACCCAAAAACAAAAACUUUACAAAUACAUAAACAGAAAUAAUAUAUACUAACCUGGAGUGCAAGGCAGACAUUUUCCAUUUCUGCAUCAAAGUUGGGCUUCUCUUUCACAGUGACAAGUUCCAGCACAGCACAGCAAGACAUCUCAAGAGGUUCCAACGCUGGUAAGGCAAUAGAACCACCGACUUUACGGUUGACAGCAUGUGAAAACCGCAAGUACUCAUCCUCACUGUAAUGGGUUACAUUAGAAGUCCACUCAGGAACUCUAGAGAUGAAAACACGACCGGGAAGCCCAGGGAAGGAACGCGGUUUCAGUUCUGCAGAGAAGAUAUACGUCCUUCACACGUCACGAUAACCAGAAAGUAUCUGGUCUAGCAAAUAGGGCUGAUCAGAAGUGGUCAACAUAUACUGAUCUCCAUGCUUAACUGGAACCCAUACUUUUGCCAAGAUGCCUCCUCCAGAUGACUCCUUAAACAAGGGCAGUGCUCUAAGCAUCUUCUCAUCAAGUGAUUGUCCAACUGGCCUUGAAAUCAACGAGUUUGCCACAUCUGAAGUAUUAUUUUGUCUAUUACCACCAUUAUUUCGUCUAACACCCUGUUCAUCGGUAUCUGUGGAAUCCAACGGAUUACCAAAGUGCGCAUCUGUUUGCUGGAACACCAUUCUAUCCACACAAUUAUAAGAACCACCCAUGCCACUUAACGCAUCACCACCUUCAACAAAGGUACCAGAACUUUGUUCUGUAAUAUUUAAUGAAUCAAGAGAGGCACAAGGAAAGGAUGGAUAGGAGGACAAACCGAAGGAGGCAAACAUCUGAUCUGUAGCUGCAGGGCUGUUACACCACCUAGCAUAAGAAUCGAAGUUCAUGAGCUCUGAGAAGUUGAAAGUAUCCUCAGAAAUUGAAUUUUUGGUACUGCCACCUAACUGUUCCCCACCAAAGAUGACAACCAAAAUUUUACAGUCUCCAAAGCCGCCGCAAAUCACUGCAAGAGAAGUCCACUGCUCUCAAUCAACAUUAACUCACAAAACCCACCUCAGAUUCAUCCACUCAUACAUAAAAAUUCAAAAUUCUAAAUAAAAAACCCAAAAAAGAAGUACGUAUCAAAAAGAUGAAAUGAAAUUUCUGGUGAAAUGAACCAAACAUCGAAUUCAAGACCCAGUGCACUAUUCCCAAUCAAAAGAAAAAUACUUUACUAAAUAUACAUGUAGCACAGUAAUUUAAGAAAUUGCCAAAAUUGGCAAUUCUUUUUCCUUUUAUAAAAUUCAAAUGAAAUUCGAGUGAAAUAAAAUGAACAAGAAAUGAAAUUCCCAAAACUUCAAAUAAAAGAAAAUCAAAACGAAAAAAAAAAAAAAACCUAUAAAAUCUGAAGCUCCUUGAAAUUUUGUAAAAAAAAAUGUCGUUAUAUGAUAUUAAUAUAAUGUUGAUGUAAAAAGUGAAAAAUGUUAUAUGAUCACAUUAACAUGUCAUGUCAUUAUCAAUUAUGAUAUNAGUAAUUUAAGAAAUUGCCAAAAUUGGCAAUUCUUUUUCCUUUUAUAAAAUUCAAAUGAAAUUCGAGUGAAAUGAAAUGAACAAGAAAUGAAAUUCCCAAGACUUCAAAUAAAAGAAAAUCAAAACGAAAAAAAAAAAAAACCUAUAAAAUCUGAAGCUCCUUGAAAUUUUGUAAAAAAAAAUGUCGUUAUAUGAUAUUAAUAUAAUGUUGAUGUAAAAAGUGAAAAAUGUUAUAUGAUCACAUUAACAUGUCAUGUCAUUAUCUAUUAUGAUAUAUUAGUAUGUCAUUUUAUAAUUAAUUAUGACAUGUUGACAUACCACAUUAACUUAUGUGAUCUAAAAUGACAAAUGAUAUUUUGACUAAGUAAAUCAUUAAUUAUAAGAAUUCAUUUAAUUCAAAAUAAAAAUAUAAAAAUAUAUUUCAUUCAAAGUAAAAUUAUAAAAAAUUAAUUGAACAUAAUAAAAGUAUAUGACUUAUUUGAAUUUUUUUGAAUAAUUUAAGAAAUUUUUUUAAAUAUUAUUCCAAAUAAAUUUAAAAACAAUGAGCAGUAAUGAUGAAGAUAGUGGAAAUUGAAAAAGAAUAGAUAAAUGAGAAGCAUUUUAAGAAAAAGAAGAAAGUAAGUGAGAAAUUGCUUUUUUUUUUUUAUUAAGGAGGCCUUUGCUUUGCUGGGGAUUAUGAAUCUCAUUAUUGUUGCUAUGUAGUUAAGUUUGGUACUGUACUAUAUGAGUUUAGAAUAGUAUUAAAAUCAUUGGACAUUUACAAUGACUGGGGUGAGAAGAUUAAAUGCUUAUUAAAAUCAAAUACUUAUUUUCAUUAAAAAUAUUUGUAAUUGAGUAAACAAAUGGUGAUUGAUUUACUAUUUUAAAUCAUAUCAAUUAUAAAUAUAAAAUUUAUUUAUAUUUUUUAUUAUUUUAUUCAACAAAAUUGCACAACUUUUACAUUACAAGCGUUGGCUCUAAAAAAAAUUGAAUCAGGAGCCACCUGUCAAAUUGUAGAAUCACCCUAAAAUUAAUCAAAAUUUAUUAAACUGAGCAGGCCAAUGAAUGACCUUGGUCUGUGUUCCUCUGUUCCCAUCCCUAGUGAUAGGUAAGAAUUGUAGCAAGGGAGCUGCAAAGCCGUCAAGUGGUUGUGGUUAACAGGUCAAGAUUUUCCCCUUUUCUUUUCUUCUUUAUUAUUCUGAGUGACAGAGGGCUCUGUUUUUGGAGCUUAAGUUUUGAUGUACUUCGAGAACAACUUUAAGCACGUGUUAUGAUGUUUGGAUGUCAUGACUCAUAACAUAACCUUAUUUAAUGAAAAUUUUUGUUUUGCCGCGUCUGACGGAGAAAGAAAAACAAUUCAUGAUACUUGCUAAAUUUCCUCCAAAAUAAAAAUCUACUUUGCCCGUAACCAUACAAGCAUGCCUCACAGUCUCAGCCAAUAAAUGGAAUUAAUCAAAUCACACUUCUUCUUUUUUUUAUAUUAACAGUUACACCAUUUUUCAACUUGAAAUAGCGGAAUAAAGAAGCAAAUUAAGUGUGGAAGUAAUGGCAAAUAAAUGGAAUUAAUCCUAUAGAUUUGGGAGGCAGUGUCUGCAACACCAAUACAAGGUAAAAUGCUACGAUUACUAAUUAUCUGUUUCCUUGUACAUAGAUUUUUUUGUACCAUAUUGAUCCAAAGAAAUAAGGGGAAGAAGGAAUCAAUUUCUAAGCAAUUGAUUAAGUAUAAACAUUACGACUCUGCUCUAGCUCUACUUAAGAAGCACUACCUCGACUCAAGAAUUGCGGUGGCACAAACACGACAACAAACAAGGAGACGGAGAACAGAGUCCAUGUAGCGAACUUUAGGUUCAAUGGAAAAGGAAUUGCAGUGGCGUGGCAAAAUGCUGCGGCAGCUAGUAACAGUGCAACUUUUUCCAACACUUGUGAAGUUCUGGCAUGGUUUUGGCUGAUAAAUAAUGCAACCAAGAGUAUGACAAAUAUAAGCAAGACAGCAAAAGAAAGCAACACGAAGGAAAAAGGGGGCUCCUUGUCCUUGGAUUGAUCGGUUUGUGAAAAUUGGAGAGAGAAUCCAAAGGCAAAAGUGAAGCAAAAUGUCAAUAUUGCACUUUGCCACUGUAGAUGCGGCUGAGCAGCGAGUAAAUUAAGUAGUUGUGACUCCGCAUUGAAGGAAGGGGACGUUGACGGUGGUGGGCGCAGAGGCAGUGUCGACGGCGGCGAUAUUUCUAAGUCGAUAACAGGAGAAGGCAGUGAUGAUGGCUGCUGCUGUUGUGAUUGGGGUGACUGUGAUCUUGUCGUGUCUAAUUUAGGACAAAGUCGGAGGACAAGUGCUGCAAUUAGAGCAAGAAAUGCUUUAACUUUCUCUUGAAUAACGCCCAUCACGUUUAUUUGUAUUUAAACACCAAUUGCAUCAACCUUGUUGCGCGUGUAUAUAUAUUUAUAGUGGGCAAAAUAAGGCGAUAAGGAGAAAAGUGAAUAAAAAAAAAGCUAAAAGAAUGUGUAAGCUUAAACCCCCUUUGACAAUAUAAAAAAAUGGAAAGAUCCGAUUAUUACCUCCGAAUUCUCUUUACUUUAUAAAAAAAUGUGAAUUUGAUGAUGACUAAAAAUCCCAAAUGUAGAAGCCUUUUAUGUCAAGAGGGUAUGGCAUGGGACUGGACCACUAGGGUCAUUGUCUUGGAUACUUUUUGGCUUUUUGCUAAGUUGGGGGGCAAAGAGAAAGAAAAUACACAACACACUUGGGGUAUUGGACUUUGGCUCACCUGCACAAACUAUUCUUAAACAGCUUAUCGGAUCGAAGUUUGGUGUUUCCUCGCAAAUAGACCAUCAAAUGAGAGAACAAAACGAGAGAGAGAGAAGGUUAAGCUAAAGGUACUUAAAAAAUGAGAUAAAAGACGUGCGGUGCGGUGACUUUAUGUUGAACACAAGAAAAUGUGUGUUUAAGUUUUAAGGACCGAAAUUCGGAUCUUAUGGCUCUCACCGCGGACAGGAAGUUGGAAGGGAAGGUCCAAUAGAUGAAGACAAGAAAAAACGAGUGCAAAAAGAGGCUCGCUCGGCUUAACACAAAAUGACUUUUUUUUUUCUUACCUUCUUUUGGUUUGCUGCAAUUCUUCUACCUCAUAUUUUAGCUGAAAUAAUUAUGAAAAAAAAGACCGAUGAACCAAACAUGCAAAGACAUUAUUAUUAAGUUUUACUUAUGAUAUUAGAUUAACUAGGAAUAUCCUUAUUAAACAUUUAAGAAUUGCACCUAUAUAUUUCAUCCUAAACCCUAAUUAACCCUAAUAAUGAGAAUUCAUGAUUUGUGUUUAAUUUUUAGAGGUGCAAAUUAAGUGCAUUGCACCUAUUUAUUUCCUCCUCUAAAAUGUUUAUCAGGGUAGUUUCUUUUACAUGUUAAUCAAAUGCUACAUUAUCAGGAGAAGGCAGUGAUGAUGGCUGCUGCUGUUGUGAUGGGGAUGACUGUGACCUUGUAGUGUCUUGAACGCCAAUUGCAUCAAUCUGGUUGUGUGUGUAUGUAUAGUGGGCAGAACAAGGCAAUAUGGGGAAAAGUGAAUAAAAAAAGCUAAAAAAAUGUGAAGGCUUAAAUCCUUUUGACCAUACGGAGAAAGUGAAAAGAUCCGAUUAUCACAUCCGAGUCUCUUGCACUCGAAUUUAACUAUGAUUAAAAAAAUCCGAAAGUCACCUGCUUUGACGGGGUAAGGAAAAUAUAUAAGCCUUUUUGAAGUCAAACGGAUAGCACAUGGGUCUGGGCCACUGGGGUCAUUGUCUUGAAUACUUUUUCUAGGCAAAGAGAAAGAAAAUACACAAUACGCUUGGGGCCUUGGACCUUGGUUCACCUGCACAAACUACUCCGAAACAACUUAUCGGAUUAUAGUUUGGUGUUUCCUCGCAAACAACCAAUCAAAAGAGAGAACAAAACAACACAGAGAGACCUUAUGCUGAGAUAGACCUUAAGCUAAAGGUACUUAGAAAUUGAGAUAGACUUUAUGUUGAACACUAGCAAAUAUGUGUUAAAGUUUUAAGCAUGGCCCCCAAAGAAAGGCAAAUAAGUGAAGACAAAGAAGAAAACGCGUGCUGAAAAGAGGACCGGCUCGGAUUAAUAUAAAAUGAAUUUUUGUUCUUAGGAAGUUUCCUAUAAAUUUUCUUAUCCUUCUUUUGGUUUGGAGCAAUUUUUGUACUUGAUAUUUUAGCUGAAAGAAAGAUGAAAAAAGAAUGAUGAACCAAACGUACAAAGACUUUUUUUUUAUACUUAUGAUAUUAGAUUAACUAGUAAUAUCCUGAUUAAACAUUUAAAAAUUGCACCUAUAUAUUUCAUUUAAAGUACCCUAAACCCUAACAAAGAGAACUAGUGAUUUGUGCUUAAUUUUUAAAGGUACAAAUUAAGUGCACCUAUAUAUUUCAUCCUCUAAAAUGCUUAUCAUGGUUAUUUCUUGUACAUGUUAAUCAAAUACUAAAAGUAUAAGACUUUUACAUUUUAGGUAAAGGAAAAUAAAAUUACAAAAUUUUAGGAUUAUUUACAUAAUAUUUUAAAUAUUUAACCUUCCCUCAACUUAUGCAAAAGCGUAUCCAAAAUCUUGAAUAAAAUGCUUCACAUACUUUCAAAUCACUCCUUUUGUUUUCCCUUAAUCUUCACUAAUUUUAAUGAAGAAACUUUUAGAAAAGUUGCUUGUACAAAUUACAAGUUAAAAGUCUGAUUAUAGAUACUUAAUAAGAUUAGUUAAAUUGUUAUUUAAAAAAAUAUUAAAUUCAAAGAGACGUUAUAUUUUAAUUAUUAAUCAUAUAUCUUUUUAAAGAUAUCACGUUAAGGUUUUCUAAAAAAAAAAAGAAAAAGAUAGUAAACCAAAAUUCAUUUCCUAAUAUCAGACGAAAAGGAGAACGAAAAAGUAACGAUGUGAUCAUGCAAGCCAAGUGUUAUCCACAUAGAUGAAGGGGUGAUAGGAAUUAGGUUAGGGCCUAUAGUAAUGUACCACGGGCUUGACAUUUUACGGUCCUUGUCCGGUUGGGCGUCGCAGCUCAGCCCUGCCUAGAAACAUUUUUAGGAUGUUAUUCUUCAUCAGAGUACCUCUCUUGAAAUUUUUCGUUUUUAUUAAAAAAUCUAAACUAGCUAACCAAACAAAUGAACCUUUUAGAUUUGAGUUUUAAAACUCUUACUUACCCUAAAUAAGAGUUAACAAUAGUUUUUGGUAUUUUACAGAAAUAUAUUUUUAUUUUUCUCAAUUAGAAUAAAUAUGUAACUGUGAAUUAAGUUGUUAAUACAUCACCCAAACUUAUGGCGUAAACUACUUUCAAGUGCUUCGACUUGACUAAUUGCCUGCUUUGCCUUAUACGGUAUCCGGAACCUUCUAGUGCAUCAUGGGCUGAAAGGCCUACCUCCAAAACCUUCGGCUAUCUAUCUUGCUUCGUGCUCUACAACCUUUCGCUCAGUUUUGCCUCCGUCAAAACAAUGCCCUGCAACUCUACGGCCCAUUUUCUACUUGGGCCUUCACCCUUCUGACCCACUUAUAGUAUACUUGGGGUCUGACCUGGACUUGGGCCAUGACACAAAUACUAAUAAUUUUCUUUUUCUGAAACCAAGUGCCAGUAUCUUUGUUCCUUUACUAACAAAAUUGUCAAUCAAAAUAGGAGUAGCAUCACAAGCUGUCCAUGGCUCAGGUAAACCACCAGACCUGCGGGUCUAAACUAACUUGGAUUGGGCUUUGGACAGGAUAUUUUAGGUCCAGCUCGAUUUGACAUAGGAUUACAUUUAAUAAAAAAUUAUUUUUUGUUUACUUUCAUUUUUAAAAAUAUUAAUAUAAAAUAUUUUUAACAUAAUAUCUAAAAAGUUCUUAAACUAUUUAAAAAAAUUCAAAUAAACCAUUAUACUUGUAUUGUGUUGAAUCAAACUCUUAUACUUUUAUUUUAAAUUAAUUAAACUCUUAUACUUUUAUUCUAAGUCAAAUAAUUGUUCAUAACUAAUAAUUAAUUGAAACAAAAUAUCAUUUAUUAUUUUAUAUCACAUGAUAUUAACAUGACAUUAACGUGACAUAUUAAUAUAUUAUAAUAAAUGAUAAUAUGACAUGUUGAUGCAAUUUGAUGACAUGAUUAUUGUAUUUUUCACUCUUCACAUCAAUAUUAUGUGAGUAAAAUAUAACAAAAAAUAUUUAAAUUAAUGACAAUUAAUCAAUCAUUAAUUAUAAAGGCUUAUUUGAUCCAAAAUAAAAAUAUAAAAACUUGAUUAAAUGUAAUAAAAGAAUAAAUAUUUAUUUAAAUUUUUUUAAGUAAUACUUUUUAUAUAUAUAUAUAUAUAUAUAUAUAUAUAUAUAUAUAUAUAUAUAUGAUAUAGUUACUUUCAAGCACCUAUUUGGGAAAAUAUGGCCAUCGAUGACUAUAUUUGAUUUCAAGAAUAAAAAUCACAAAACUAGUGAUUAAUUCAGAAUUAAAUAAACCAAAAGACAUGCGUACAAGUAAAAGUCCAAAAUUAAGGCUUAAUUCCUCUAAAUUUGUGAAUACCCUUUGAAAGUAACAAAUAGACCAUGCAUGCCGGCUAUAGCACUACAAACUUUAUGUUGACUUCACUAAUAAUAUACAUUUAUUCGCAAAAUAAUAUCAUGUCAAGUCCAUAACCUUGGCUGAUGGAUCCUUCCCAAACGUAUUCUUCCACGCAAUAGAUCAAGAAAUGUACGACGUCGGAAGUGAGGCAUGUCAUCUUGACUGAAAGGAAAAUAAUUCCCAUGUGUGAGGCAGUCGGCAUAUUUCAUGACAAAGAGGCCACAAUCCACGGAGCUGCAUUGUCAAUGAAAAGAUUGAGAGUGUAACGAAAUACCAUUUAUAAAAUGAAAAACUAAAAGCUUCACUAAUUCUCUUAAAUGAGGACAGCUUGCUUACUUCUUUUGCAUAGGAAUAUUUUCUGGGACAAGAAACGGCCAAUCCUUGGCAUUAUUAUGACCCAUGGAUGGCAAUAGAAACUCUGAAAACCACCGCCUGAUCACCUGUUUCUCUGAAGCAUUGGACAUUCGAGAAUAUUCGUUUGGAUCCAUCCAUAGCAAUUUUUUAUCGUCAAUGUCAGCAUAAAAAAGAAGCCAAUGUUCGCUCCAACACAUUGGCAGAAACAACUGCAGUGAGUCAGCGACAGAAAAACGAAAGUGAUAAUUGUGCCUACCUAUAGAUUAUGAGUUAUGACAUUGCAUUAAACAGACUAACUUAUAGGGAAUAAAAAUAGUUACCUUGCUCACGCCUAUCAAGUCCUCUUGUUUAACCCAUCUUAACACUUCAGAUUCAGCCUUUGAUCCAUUAAUCAAGAAAGUCUGAGUUCAUCAUAUAUAGUUGAAAAGUUAUUCUCUUGCCAAUGAUCAUACACAUAUAAAAAAAAUCUUAAUUAUGAUUUUAAAUAAAAGGCCCUUACAGCUGUAGCAGAAUCGAAGGAAUGAUGCUUCAGGUAUUUAUGUGGGAACUUCUCAUACCUUCUUUUAAGCAAAAUGAAGAACCGAUUCACAACCUUCAAAUAUGGGCAAGGCACGUCUUAAUAUAUGCAUUCAGCUUAUCAUUUCAAGCUACUAGUAUAUUUCCAAGAAAAAAAAAACCGAAAGAGAAAUAUUAUUUUGAAAGGACACUAACCGUAUCCUCGACAUAAUAAUUUUUUACAUCUCCUGAACCAAUAUCAUCUUGAGGAAUUCUAAGCAAAGGUGCUAAUGCUUUAUCCUGUAUCUUAUCUCGUCCAAUUAUUUCUCUUCAAAACAGAACAACAAAUAAAUAAAUUUCAUUAUGAUUACAAUGAUAUCAACGCUUAAUUAAACUAUCAUAUUUGAUAGGAUGUAUCAUGUAAUGGCACACAUACGUACCCACUUAUUUCAUGACUUUGCCAUUUGCUCAAAUGUUUUUCUUCUUUUUCCGUUAAAGGAGAGAUCAAAUAUGCCUGAACAUCCUACAAAAAUACAGAAAAACAACAAAAGUAAGAGUAUUUUUUUUUUUUGGUUAGUUUAUGUUAAAAAACCUUUUACUAGUAAAUCAAUUUCUGAAAAUUUGAAAUCUUUGCCAUUCAAAAAAGAUUGAAAACCUUUUAGGCAUACGAGAUGUUAAAUAGUACUAGCCCUAGAUUUUAGGUUGAGUUUCCUCAUAUAGGAUUUAAUUAAUAAGUACAAAAUAGGAAGGGUAUUGCUUGUACCUUCUCUGACCAUGCUCUGGCCUCCCUCCCUAUUUCUUCAUUCCAUGGUGCUUCAUCAUCAGAUUCGGAAGAGAAGUGGUCUAACUCCGAAUGAUGUGCAAGAGGUCGACUAUCCUUCAAUUUGACAGUGAGGCAGCCUAUGUUUCCUCUCUUAUUAGGUUCCACGUUUGAAAAAGCUCGGUCGAAAUAACUAAAUAGCUAACAGAGAUAAUAUGAUGAUAAGAAUGGAUCAUGAAGAUAUUACUUACUUGCCCUUGGAGAUUCUAACCAAUCCCUGCCGCAUAUCAUAGCCUCUAUGAUCUGAGGAUUUAAGCCAUUGAAUAUUGGAUUGUCCAUCAUAACUUUUUCAGCCAAAGUAGAACCUGAUAUGAUCGAUGACAUAGGCAUUGCUAAGAUAUCACGAGCCAUCCUCCCAAGAAUAGGAAAGCUUGAAGCAUGUCCGCGCCACCAACCAAGUACGUCAAACUCCAUUUCGGAACACAUUACAGGUCCCUGAACAUACUUAUCAAAUUCCGACUUCCAUGAAACCUCAGUGUUAACAUUCCUUUUAUAAUUGUACCACCUAUGGAAAGAUUCCAUUGUAUUUUCUUCAGCUUUGAAAAUUUUCAAGGAAUUUUUAUCAUCGAAGAGAGAUGUCCCACUGUACAUAUUACUUGCAUAUUCAUUGAAAAAACCAGUGAGAGCAUUACGAAUGAUUGCCAAGUGAAUCCGGGCUGCAUCAAAGCCAUAGAUGUUAUUGUAUGAGAACUCCACAAAAUCAAAUUUAAAUCGUGGAUCAAGAAUAGCUGCAAUUGCCAAAACCAAGCUGCACGUCCUCCAAUUGUUAUCAGAUAUCACAUUCAUCAAUGGAUAGCCUUUUCUUUCCUGCUCACUCAGUUUCUUGUAUUUAUCAUAAAUGUCCAGCAAACAUGCACUUGAAGUUUUGAUGGCACCAUCAAUAGAUUUUCCGACAUUUUGAAGCACGUCAUCCAUCUCACUUGAUUGAUCCUUAGCAAGGAGACCAUUAAUGCACCCAUCACAGCUGAUGUAAAAUGUGCUUAAAGGAUGUGGAGCUCUGAAACAGAGCCAGGCUUUUCUUAUUUCUUCAGCUAUCUCCAAACUUGAGGAGGAAUUAUGCAUGGUUAAGGAGCAAACUUUCUUGUCAAAAUUCCAGUCCUUAAGCAAACUCUUGAAAUUUUCAAGGAAAAUCCUAGUGUCAAAUUCUUGCCCGAAAUUUUUCAAGGCAAGAACUUUCUUCUUCAAUUUCCAAUUGUCAUCAAUAAAUUGGACAGUAAAACAACAAUGAGUAAUCUUUUCAAGAUCAUUUGCCCACAAACUGACUGUCAAAUUAAAACGACAAGAGAGCGUAUCAAAAUAUUCAAUGUGUCUACCUUUUUCCUCUUUAUAGACACGAAAUAUGUCAGAUGCUAGAAUUUCUUGCGAUUGAAGUUUGAACCUUGGUUGCAAAUUUUUCAAAAGAGUGCUGAAAUAUUCAUCCUCAACUAUAUUCAAUGGGUACUGAUGCUUAAUAAUCAUUCUUGCAACAUCCAUGCGACUCGUAUCUUGAUCAAAUGAAGAAUUACCUUGUUGAUCUUCAACUUUGGAAGAAUUACCUUGUUUAUCUCCAACUUUGGUUCGUUUGCUUUUACAACGUUCCAAGUGAUUUCUUAGGUGUGAAGUUCCUUUCCUACUUGAACCAUCAAACCCUCUACCACAAUGUGAACAUAUAGCCCAUUCUUUCCCAUCGCCAUCUUUUUUCUUGGUAAAUUCAUCCCAAACAUCAGAUCUCGACUUUCUCCUUUUACCACAAUGAGGAAUGUUUGGAAUGGCUUCUUCCUGCAAACCGACUUCAGUGCCAUGAACUCUUAGCUUUACAAACUUUGUCUUCAUUUUUUUCAAGUCUUCGAAGAUACGAAGUGCCAAGGAUUUUGGUUCCUCAAGUUGUUCCUCAGAUGAGGACAAAAAGAAUUCUAGUAUAUAAACAUCAUCAGUAUAAUGGUUGACUAGACAGAUUGCAAGGGCCGCAUGUAAGCCUGACUUCUGUGCAGCCUCAGCAAAUGGAUUGCUCCUAAGCUCAGUAAUAUUUGGUUCAAAAAGGAAGGGCUCAUUUGAUUGAAGCGCUUGUCCAGCAAUAGCUUGCCCUUCUUGAAUAUCAUAUAUUGCACAUUCUUGCAUGAAAGACUUAUACUGAAUAAUUUUCUCUAAACAAUCAUAAUAAUAAUAACAAUAAUUAAUAUAAGAGUAAGUAGUUUCGAUGGAUAGAGAACGUUUCUUGUUUAGACCUGACAUGAUUCCAUUCGGGGUUCCCUUCACCCAUGUUAAAGCCAAUGGAAGCUCAUAUUUCAAACAUACAUCUUCUAACAUGUCAUAUAUCUCAGCAAAAGCAGCCAAUCCAUUCAAUGAGGACGCCUGUUAAUUAAAAAAGGUAAUAAUGAAUUACUAAGAGCAAAACAAGAAAAUCCAAAAUAACACUUGGGAAGAGGCACAACCACUCCUCAGGUUAACACUUGUUUUUGGACCAUUUUGUAUGCAACUUAAUUCUAAAUACCUCGCUAUUGGCAUCUUUUGUCUAGAAGCAGUAAGAGACUCUGGAUCCUUCGUUCCACAAAUAGCAAAUAAGAUACACAAAACAUUCAAAAUAUGUAACCUCUAGGCAAGUUAAUACGGCUAAAGAACCCUUUUGCAAAAGAAUGAAGUAGUUUUCUACUUUCAAAUGUUACUUUUUCUUAUUUUUUGUUUUUUGUUUUCAAAUGUCACAUUCCAAUUGCAACUUUUUUUUGUCGAAGUAUUAAAGGAAUCUUAGCUUUUCUUGUUAAUAGCAAGGAAUGUAAUGUCUGUAAUUACAUGACUUCAAUUUAAUAAUUUUUCCAAACUUUCAAUCUCAAGAUUUGUAAUAAUUUAAUAUCCAGGUGUUACCCUUAAUGUAUAUCCUUGGAUGAAAUUUUAUAUUUUUUUUGUACUUCAAAAACUACAAGCAAGCUUUUAACCAUCUCCAGGCAACCAAACUUUUUUUAAUUCGUAGAAAAGCUUUUACAUAAACCAUUUUUAAAAAAAAUAUUUUUCACCGAAUAAACAGAUUUGAACUCAAAUUUUAAUAUGCUUUAAUUAAACUAUCUUUAUCUUUAUCUUUUAUAUAUAGUGAACAACAUAUAUAUUAUUAACAAUUUAUUAAAUUAAUAAGUUUGUCCUUCAUUAAUGAUUUUUUAUUAAAUUGAAACGGUAACUGAUUUUUAUUUAUUUGGUUAGUAACAUUGAAGUCUUUAUUCAAGUAAAUUUUCUUUAAUUGAUAAUAUUCUUAUUAAAUUAAUUAUUGACUAAUUUUUAUCUAUCAAUUUCCUUAUUAAUCUUGAACUAUUUACUAAAGUAAAAUUUUCUUUACUUUAAAAAAAGUAAAACAUUCUUAAUAAAAUUUAAAUCUAGCUAAAUCAAAACUAGAAUUUUUUUUAUUGAAUUAUUAAUGAAUUUAAAUAUUUAUGAGAUUACAAAACUAGUUUAAAUUCUUUAAUGAUUCAAUAAAAUAAAAUUUACUACUCAUCUUUGAACAAGUACAAUUUUAUCACUAUAUUUUUUAAUUUGAUUCAAAAAUGAUAAAAAUUUAACUAUAAAAAAAUACUCCAGGAAGAAAUAAAGAAAUUUUCUAAUUUUGACUAUGUUGAAUCAAAUUAAUAAAUAUAGUGCUAAAAUUUCAAUCGUUUGGAGAUAGAUGCUAUAUUUGAUCAAUCACCCUAAAUAGAGUGGUAAAUUUGGAUCUUAUCCUACAAUGAGGAAAUUUUGUAAGUUAAAACUAAAGUGGAAAUCUUAUAAGGCGUUGUUUAGGAGACUUGAAAAAAAAGUUAGUACCUGUCGGUCAACUUGUAAAGUUCGAACUGUAUCUUCUAAUGCAGGAUUUGGAUUGAAACCUACAAUGAAAGUUUAUGAAAGUGUUAUCAUUAUACAAAAUAUAAUUUCUAAGCUAAAUAACAAUUAAGUAAAGAAAGGCCAAUGAAGAUGCAUUAAGGGUCAAGGAUCCAAUUUAUCACUCUCCUACAUUACUAGUUUUAUGGUCAAAUUUUACCAAUCAUUUUCUAUUAGUGCAAUUUUAACAGUACAGUAAAAAAUGUAAUGAAUGUAGAAUAUUCUGUUGCCAUACAAGAAGGAGAAGAGAGAUAGAAAAGUAGAAGUGAGGAAAGGGAUGGGAAAAUUUAAAGCUUGGUUUGGUCGUCCACAUCGACCUAGAGUCAGCCAGCUUGAUUUGGGAUGGUGAGAGGGCAACGAAUAAAAAAAAAAGAGGGAAAGGAUUACGAAGACUGAGAAAAUGAGGGAAGAAAGAAUCAGAGAGAGAGAAUAGCCAAGUAGCGAGGGGAAAGAGAGGAGCAAAGCGACAUGGGGAAAGGACGAAAAGCAGGGGUCUGGGUCUGACCAGUGGUCACCAAUGCCUUAUCUAAUGUUGGUCGACCAAAUUCGGCACAAAAAUUAUGAAAACCUUCGAGGAGAGACAAAAGGAACAAGGAUAGAGAAAUGGAAUAAAAAAGAAGGGUGGACGCUAAUAUUUGGUGUAGGUUGGUCACCAUUAAAAUGAUGAAAUCAAAAUUUAACUACUAAAUCUUAAACUUGAAAAUUACAUAAGAACAUAAUACAUAUUAGAGAUUUUAUGUAUACAUGUACUAUAUAAGGUACAACAUGAUGAAAAUGCCCUAACUACAUGACAUGCCAAAUGACAAGAAUGCCCCUAAAUUUAUAUGGCAUAAUAUAUGUCAAAAAUAUAUGUACUUAGAGUUAUAUGACAUAUUGAAUGAUGAAAACAUCUUUAAAACUACGUUGCAUAUUAUAUUGUUCAAACUGCAUAUAUAACAUACUCUCAUGAUCCUAAGACUAUGGGCUAUAGUUCAUGACAGUAAAAUUACAUAGCAUAGUUCAUGUUAUUGCAUAGCAACUUGAACUACAUCUAUUUGUCAUACUAUUGACAUCAUUAUAACCUUAAUGGCAUACAAUCUACCAUAAUUUUAAUAUCAACAUUUAUCUAUAUGGCAUGUGCAUUAUAUGGUUCAAACUAUAUAUGGCAUACUCUCAUGAUCCUAAAACUAGAUGGCAUAGUUCAUGACUAUAAAAUUACAUGGACUAGUUCAUGUUAUAGCAUAUAGGAUAGCAACCCGAACUAUAUCUAAAUGUCAUAAACCUUAAUUGCAUACAAUCUGUGACAAUUUUAUAACAACAUUUUUCUAUAUGGCAUAUAAUUAUAAUCCUAAACCUCAACAUUUUAUCAUGUCUACUAAUGUGCCUACAUGAUAAACGUUCAUAUGGACAAGUUCUAUCUAUGUCUGUCAUGCAGGUUUGGAUAUUAUUACCAAGAGGAACUUGCUUGGAUCUAGGUCUAAGAGUUGAUUCAGCAUGGCAUUGGAUUGAAUUGAAUGAGUCACAGGCUAGGCUUUUUGAGAGUCUGGAGUCGUCUGGAUCUUUUAGAUUGGUGUAGAGUCGUUUGGGUUUGUAGGGACAUUGUGGGCUCAUCUAAGCUCGAAUGGACAUUUUGGGCUCGCUUAGACUCUUAGAUUCUUGGACUUCUGAACUCCUUUAACUUGUAAGUUACCAAAUUGCUGUGGGAAUUUCUAGCAGUAGAAGAGGAGAGGCGAGGAUAUCUAAUAAAUUAUGAGGUAGGUAGAAAUAUGAUGGAGUAUUAAUUGCUGAGAUGAAAUGGAGUGGACGGUCAGGAUCAGGUGAUGAACAACUCAGAUUUCAUGAAAAUUUUAAAUUUUAUCUUCUAAUAAAAAUUAUAAUUUUUAAGAGAUUUAUCAUUUUAAAAAUAAAUCAUUAGAUAAUUCAAAAAAAUUAAAAAUAAAUCGAUCUGAAAAAUGUAGUGUCGAUUUACAUUAUGUGUUGAUCAAUACUGUAAGUUUGGUCAAAUUCACUAAUUUUCUGAAUUCAAGCCUAAGUUGAUCGACACUUUAAAUAGUCAAAAAGUGAAAAAAAAAUUAAAAAUCUAUCCAAAUUGAUAGUUACCCUAAAAUUUUUGAACUAUUGAUUGACACUUUUUGUGCCAACUGAUAUUCUUUCCUAAUUUUUUAUGAAAAUUUCACUUCAUUAAAAUGGAAAUUAUAUUUUAAUUUUUCAUUUAUUAAAGUGCAAAAUUUGGUACUUAUAAUAGUCAUGCUAAAAAAGAAAAAACAAAAGAGAAAAGGGAAAGGAAGAAGAGGAAAGGAAAAAAAACUUCAUGUCCAUAUUUUCUUUUUUAUUUUUAUUUUUUCAAAUAUCCAAAUUUAUUACUUUUAUGUUAUUGAAAAUUAAGAAAUAUUUCAGGAAACAUUUUUUCUUUUUACUUUUUGACUGAUUUAAAUGGUGUCAAUAUUAGUCAUUCAAAGUUUGAUGGUAAAAUUUAAUCACCAAAUUAGAUACUGAUAAAUUUGAUUCUUAUUCCUUAAUCCUAAAUUAAAAUUUCAUUGCAUCAAUACUUUAGAAAUAAAGUAUAUUUUCUAGUUGAUUUAUUCAAAAGAUUUUAACAAAUCAAAGAAUAAUUUUAACUAUACUCCCUCCAUCCCAUUUUCUUAGUCCCUUUUAUUUCUUUUCGAUGUGUCAAAGUUAUGUUUUUUUUUUUCUUGAACACAAACUACUCCUUUUUAUAUAUAUUUCAAAUUUACUUUCAAUGAUUUUUUUUACUCUUUUGUUAUUAAAAACCUUGAAACAUCAUUUUUUUUAUAAAAUGGUAUAUAAAAUUUUAAUAUAAGAUAGACUGAUUUGAAAUUUUUUUCUUAAAUUUUGUGAAAAUCAAGGACAUAAAAUAUGAGAUUUAGGUAGCUUUAUGUCAUCAAAAGGGAGAUGGAUCAAAUAAUGAACUUGCGUAAUUGCCCUAAAAAAGUAUAUAACCUAUAGAUAAUUGUAUUAUCAUUAUGGGCGCUAUAAAACAUGAAUAUAAUGGAAUGUGAAUUUAUUUAUUCUACUUUGUAAAACAUUGCAUAAGAAAUAUACCUUGGAUAGGGUUAUAGCUGAUUGGAUUGAAGUGGUCCACCGCAUCUGUGAGUUUCCAAGCCGAUGUGAAAUGCAAUAGGCCAUCGUCGUUUUGAAAAACCACACACCCAAUAUCCUCAUNNNNNNNNNNNNNNNNNNNNNNNNNNNNNNNNNNNNNNNNNNNNNNNNNNNNNNNNNNNNNNNNNNNNNNNNNNNNNNNNNNNNNNNNNNNNNNNNNNNNNNNNNNNNNNNNNNNNNNNNNNNNNNNNNNNNNNNNNNNNNNNNNNNNNNNNNNNNNNNNNNNNNNNNNNNNNNNNNNNNNNNNNNNNNNNNNNNNNNNNNNNNNNNNNNNNNNNNNNNNNNNNNNNNNNNNNNNNNNNNNNNNNNNNNNNNNNNNNNNNNNNNNNNNNNNNNNNNNNNNNNNNNNNNNNNNNNNNNNNNNNNNNNNNNNNNNNNNNNNNNNNNNNNNNNNNNNNNNNNNNNNNNNNNNNNNNNNNNNNNNNNNNNNNNNNNNNNNNNNNNNNNNNNNNNNNNNNNNNNNNNNNNNNNNNNNNNNNNNNNNNNNNNNNNNNNNNNNNNNNNNNNNNNNNNNNNNNNNNNNNNNNNNNNNNNNNNNNNNNNNNNNNNNNNNNNNNNNNNNNNNNNNNNNNNNNNNNNNNNNNNNNNNNNNNNNNNNNNNNNNNNNNNNNNNNNNNNNNNNNNNNNNNNNNNNNNNNNNNNNNNNNNNNNNNNNNNNNNNNNNNNNNNNNNNNNNNNNNNNNNNNNNUUAUAUAAUUUAAAUGAUAUUAUGUUUAUUUAUUUUUAAUUUAUUUUGUUUUUAAAUAGGAAUAAUUUAUAAUUUAUUUUAUUAAUAAUUGAUAAUUUUAAAUAUUAAUAUUUAUUUAUAAUUUAAUAUUAAUAUUUUAAUAUAUUAAUAUUUUAUUAAAAGUUGGAAUUAAGUGAGAGAAAGAGGAGAGAGAGAAAAAUAAUAUUUUAUACUAAUAAAGUUGUAAAUUUUCAAACUUGUAAGGGGUAUUUUUGUCUUUAUUAAUUUUUAAAUUUAUUCUUCAACCAUGGAAUAGCUAAUACCAUGGGGGAGGGUGGUAUUAGCUAUUCCUUGGUUUUGAAGGAUUUUGAAGAAUAGCCAUUUCAUAGGAAUGGCUAUUCCUUGGAUCAUUUUUCAACCAAACAAAAGGAAUAAAAAUUCCUUGGGAAUAAAGGGGGAAUGGCUUAGCCAUUCCCCCAACCAAACAUGCUAAUAGAUAAUUGUAUUAUCAUUAUGGGCGCUAUAAAACAUGAAUAUAAUGGAAUGUGAAUUUAUUUAUUCUACUUUGUAAAACAUUGCAUAAGAAAUAUACCUUGGAUAGGGUUAUAGCUGAUUGGAUUGAAGUGGUCCACCGCAUCUGUGAGUUUCCAAGCCGAUGUGAAAUGCAAUAGGCCAUCGUCGUUUUGAAAAACCACACACCCAUUAUCCUCAAUGUCCCCAGACCCGAUAUCCGGCGCCAGUGGAACUGGAAGAAGGCCAUUCGCUCGCAAGAGGGAUCGCCAUUGAGCCAAAGUCUGGUGUCGCUCAAGUCGGUCUGUCCCUUCACAUCCCACGAUGUUUACUAUCUGUGGUCUACAAUACAUGAAUUCGUAAAAUUCCAAAAAAUUGAAGUAAUAUUGAAAAGAUUUCUCCAACCGUUUGAUGAAAUUGGAGUCAUUAUGGUCAGCAUAUUGCUCUUCUAUAAUCACAAUCUCUGGGUUUAUCUGCCUCAACUUUAACAACUCUCUCUCCAUUACUCUUGCAUCUGCCAGCAACUGGUGAAGUUUACAGUGAUAAUAGACGAUUACGGCCUCAUCCGUUGUCCUUGUGAAAUCCGCCUUAGACGCAUCCACAUCACCCAAACUAUUGGCAUAAACCACUCUCAAGUCCUCCAACUUAAUUCCACGUUCCAUGGCCGCCGUAGUGAGAUCGUGCUUACUUUUUUCUUGUUGGAAUUUUACUAUUUUUUCCAGAAAUGGUGAUACUAUGACACUUACACGGACUGAUAGAAAAUCACCGGAAGCAUUAGCUAGUGAUCUAAACAAGUAUCUCCAAUAACAUAAAGGUCGGAAUAAGAAGGUAAUGAGGUGCAAUCGUUUCUUUCCCAUACAGGCAGUGUUGAUGGCAUCGCAGGAAAAAUUAUGAAGGAAAUUAAUGGGUGAAGGAGUCAGCAAAGUGAAAUAGGCACUGGCAGAAGAAAUUCCGUAAGCUCGGCGAACUAGAGCUU
RNAcentral lists this long non-coding RNA (25414 nucleotides) under Theobroma cacao (cacao). RNAcentral's name for it is "long non-coding RNA (TCAC_LNC002692)". The record is from RNAcentral. Lineage: Eukaryota; Viridiplantae; Streptophyta; Magnoliopsida; Malvales; Malvaceae.